RNAcentral lists this transfer RNA (74 nucleotides) under Candidatus Woesearchaeota archaeon. RNAcentral describes it as "tRNA-Ile". It matches the Rfam family "tRNA". Rfam says of the family: Transfer RNA (tRNA) molecules are approximately 80 nucleotides in length. Their secondary structure includes four short double-helical elements and three loops (D, anti-codon, and T loops). The record is from RNAcentral. Lineage: Archaea; Nanobdellati; Candidatus Woesearchaeota.
GACCCUGUAGCUUAGCCUGGUAGAGCGCUGCUCUUAUAAAGCAGAGGUCCCGCGUUCAAAUCGCGGCAGGGUCA